RNAcentral lists this long non-coding RNA (3635 nucleotides) under Marmota monax (woodchuck). Lineage: Eukaryota; Metazoa; Chordata; Mammalia; Rodentia; Sciuridae. The record is from RNAcentral.
GAAAAGUCUUGAGUAAUCUAGGACCCUUCAGGAAACAGGUUUAUAAAACAGUAAAAUAAUAGUUUAGAACAAGGGAACAGGCUUGAGGGAGCAGGGAGGCUGAAAACUCUGGGAGUGGAUGGGGGAGUAGCACUGCACAGCCUUUUACUAUGGGGGAACACUUGAUGAGGCAGAGGUAUGCCACUGGAGUAGUAUCUACGUUCCUAAGUGGGGAUCAUAGCUAUGUGCUGGUAGUAUACAGAAGGAUUCACCUGAAUCCUCAGAGUUUGCAAAGGUGGUCUAUUCUUAGCUUGUGUUGGAAGGUGGUGCAGGAGCCCCACCUUUAAGGCAAGAGAUGUCCUUCUCGGGAACUGCCUCACUUCUCUGUCUAAUUAGGAUUAAGUCCUAGUGUAACCCAACUGGAAAAGUACUCGGCCAGAUAAAGGAAGAAGGAGAGAAAACAUAGAAAGCUCUUUAAGAGUUAGUUAGCAUGUAUUGGCAUGAACAAGGGACAUAUCUGGGAUGGAUGUUGAGACUGCAUGAUCAAAGAGGCUAGAAUUCAAGCCUAUAGAUAAUCAGUGAUCCACGUACUUUGGGACGCUUUUUUAGAUGCUUGGGAAAAAAAAUACUUAGGAAUAUUGAUCAAAGGUUCUGAGUUGACAUUGAUACUUAGAACUGCAAAGCAUCUUCUAGGCACCCCUAUUAGAAUGGAAUCUUCUAGGAAUGAGGUAAUAAAUGGAAUCCUGACUAAAGUCUGGUGCACAAUGCACCCACUGGGUUUAUAAACCUACCCAGUAGUCACUUCCCCAUUUCCCAGGUAUGUAACAGGAGUUGAAGUACCUGGUGGUUGAAGUAACCCCCACAUUGGAUACUUGUCCUGGGCAGUAAGAGUUAUAUUGGGAAAAGAUGAGUGGAAAUAUCUAAAAUUGUCCCACUGCUCCUAGAUAAGAUAUUAAAUAAAGAGCAAGAUGAUGUUUUACAGGUGUGGAAGGAUGGCAAAGAUUAUAGCUACAAUGAAAAUGUGAAAGACUGUAGACUACUACAGACUUCGUUGAACAGUAGCCCUGAUCACAGCCUCUGUGUUAGACAGACAUCAUUGGUAGAGUAGGAACAUGGUAUUGAUGUGGUAAAUGCAUUCCUUUCCAUCCUAAUCAGAGAAGGACAGUUUUUAAAGUGAUACAUUUAUCACCUAAGAACAUUGAUUAUAUCAGCCCAUAUAUUAGGUGACAUGGAAAUUUGUCAACUUAAGUGGAAACCAGUGCAGAAAAGAGCUCUGUAGCAGGUCUGGGCUGUGGUGUAAGUAAUCCUGCUGCUUGGGUCAUAUUAUCUGGCAGAUCUUAUGGUGUUGAAGAUGUCAGUACUGGAAAAAGAUGUAAUGUGUUGCUUAUGGAAAAUCUUAGACAGGUCCUAUAAUGGGAUUAUGGAUCAAAAUCAUGCUGCCCACAGCACAAAAUUAAAUGCCUUUUGAAAAACAGCUUCCGAUAUGUUUCUGGACUCUGGUAGAGACAAAUUGCCUAGCUAGGACGCACCAAGUAUGUAUGCACCUGGAACUUUGUGAAUAGGAUUCUUUUGGAACCCAUCAAGUCAAAAGCAACAGCCUUGGGUUGUUGGGGCACAUCAGUACGGCCUCAGGAGGGGAGAAGUCUGGGGUCCUGAUUCAGCCUUUAAUGAUGUGGGUAUGGUGAGGGCCCCCGUUUCUUCCAUGGCACUUGGCUGGAGUGCAGUGGUUAUUUCCUUAAAUUUUGUCUCGCUAGGCUAUCCCUUUCUUGGUUUUCUGGGGGCAGGGGUGGAUUGUUAGGGUCCGUAAACAAGUCAAGAUGGCACUUGGCAUUUUGCCAGAGGGAGUGGUUUGUGAAGUAACGCCAGUGAGCCAUUAAGAUGAUAGAGAUUCCUUAAUGACUGACUGCUGUGUCUAGAUUAUGUCAACUAAGUUAAGCUGUGUGUAAUCAUUAAGAUGAUGAUUCCUUAUUGGUUGACUGCUGUACCUAGUUUAUGUUAAUUAAGAUAAGCUGUGUGAAAUUAGUUAUGUAUAUAUACCCCUACUGUCCUACAAUAAACGGCUCCCACUCCUGCUGUAUCAACCUUCACAAGUUGCUCGUCACCCCCCCCCCCCCCCCCGUUAGUUUGCUGCAGCCAGACUUCGGCAGUGGCUAUUGAUUGAAAGCAGGUUUCCCUUGGACCAUUUUUGUCCAUGCCUGGUGGCAUUUUCAAGUGUCCAGUUUCUUCAGCUUCAAGUCUGGAAUAUAUGAAGCAAAAAGAAAAUCUAGGGAACUCACCGUGAUGGUGUUUCAUGAGUCAUAAGGUCUUGAUCCAGUCUUUCUCUUUCCUUUCCUCUCCGCCUUAUGUUUGUUUUGCAUAUAACGUCCAAGAUUUUUAGUCUUAACAUUUUCUAGAAGGAAUAGGAAAACAUAUGUCUACUCCAUUUCCCUGGAAGCAUAGUCUCAACUGAUAUUUUAUGAGGUAAUGAAACAUUUAAUUCAAUGAAGAAAGGGUUAUUUUUUCAAUAAAUGGUGCUGGAACAAUUGGGUAUCAUGUGCAAAAAAAAAAAAAAAGAAUCUACCUAAACCUCAUAUCUUAUAUAAAUAAAUAAUUCAAAAUGAUCAUUGAUAUAAAUGUAAAACCAUAAAAUAUUUAGAAGACACAGAAAAAAGUCUUCACGACAUAGAAUUAGGCAGAGAGUUCUUAGAUAUGCAACAACAAAAAUAUCCAUAAAAAGCUAGAAAACUGGCUUCAUUAAAUUUAAAUCUUUCAUUCUGCAAAAGUCAAUAAGAAAAUUGGAAGCUACAGAAUGGGAGAAAAUAUUUGAAACACCACAGAUUUGAUAAAGACUAGAAUCUAGUAAAGAGCUAAACUCAAUAGUAAGAAAAUCAAUAAUUAAAAAAUUAACAAAAACUUGAACUUAGUCUUCACUGGAGAAGAUAUACAGAGGCAAUAAGCCCAUCAAGGAAUGUUCAGCAUUGUUGGUUUUUAGGGAAAUGCAAAUUAAAACCAUGAUGAGAUAACACUAUUAGAGUGGGUAAAUAAAAAUUUCUGACUCCAUCAAAGGCUUGGAAAGGGUACAAAGCAUCUUAGAUGGUCAUAUAUUGCUGGUGAGAAUAUAAAAUAGUGUAGCCACUUUGAAAAAUAUUUUAGCAAUUUCCUUAAAAAACUACACAAACCCAGCAAUUGCACUCCUGGGCAUUCAUCCCAGAGAGAUGAAUUUUUGUUCACACAAAAGCAGAAACCUGUAUAUGAAUAUUUAUAGCUGUUUUAUGAGUAAUAGCUGAGAGCAGUAAGUGACCCAGAUGUCUUUCAAUGGAGGAUUAAAUGAGGUGCCUUCAUACCAUGGAAUACUCAUCAAUGAAAAGAAAAAAGCCAUCGUGCAACAGCAACCUGGACGAGUCUCCAGAGAAUCAUGCUGAGUGAAAAAGGCCAAUCUCAAAAGUGAUGUGUUAUCUUAUCCAAUCUGCAUUACAUUCUUGAAAUGAUAAGAUUAUUAAAUAGAGAAGAGAUUGGAGGUUUCCAGGGUUUAAGGAGGGCAUUAAGGCUGGCGCCUGUGGCUAUUGAAGGGCAUCCUGAAGGAAGCUUGUGGUGAUGGACACGUUCUGUAUCUCGACUCUGUCAACACCAGUGUUCUGCAUGGGAUUUUUCACUGUACUUUGUGAGAUGUCAUAAUU